RNAcentral lists this ribosomal RNA (647 nucleotides) under Escherichia coli. RNAcentral describes it as "partial 23S ribosomal RNA". It matches the Rfam family "Bacterial large subunit ribosomal RNA", at positions 2251 to 2892 of the family's 2925-position model. Lineage: Bacteria; Pseudomonadati; Pseudomonadota; Gammaproteobacteria; Enterobacterales; Enterobacteriaceae. The record is from RNAcentral.
ACAGUGUCUGGUGGGUAGUUUGACUGGGGCGGUCUCCUCCUAAAGAGUAACGGAGGAGCACGAAGGUUGGCUAAUCCUGGUCGGACAUCAGGAGGUUAGUGCAAUGGCAUAAGCCAGCUUGACUGCGAGCGUGACGGCGCGAGCAGGUGCGAAAGCAGGUCAUAGUGAUCCGGUGGUUCUGAAUGGAAGGGCCAUCGCUCAACGGAUAAAAGGUACUCCGGGGAUAACAGGCUGAUACCGCCCAAGAGUUCAUAUCGACGGCGGUGUUUGGCACCUCGAUGUCGGCUCAUCACAUCCUGGGGCUGAAGUAGGUCCCAAGGGUAUGGCUGUUCGCCAUUUAAAGUGGUACGCGAGCUGGGUUUAGAACGUCGUGAGACAGUUCGGUCCCUAUCUGCCGUGGGCGCUGGAGAACUGAGGGGGGCUGCUCCUAGUACGAGAGGACCGGAGUGGACGCAUCACUGGUGUUCGGGUUGUCAUGCCAAUGGCACUGCCCGGUAGCUAAAUGCGGAAGAGAUAAGUGCUGAAAGCAUCUAAGCACGAAACUUGCCCCGAGAUGAGUUCUCCCUGACUCCUUGAGAGUCCUGAAGGAACGUUGAAGACGACGACGUUGAUAGGCCGGGUGUGUAAGCGCAGCGAUGCGUUGAGCU